Molecule: long non-coding RNA, 340 nt
Filed under: Homo sapiens (human)
Lineage: Eukaryota; Metazoa; Chordata; Mammalia; Primates; Hominidae
Description: HSALNT0204634
Source: RNAcentral
UCAAACUGAAUAUACAAAAAGACAGUCUAUGGAUGUCAAUACUGAGAUAACAGAGAAGCUAAAGUUAUCUGAAGCAAAAUGUAAAACAAUCAUGAUAAAACUGAUGAAGAUGGCCUUUUCUGGUCCGCCUGGUAAACUCCUAUUCUUCCUUCAGAUUCAGCCCAAAUCAGUCUUCAGUAAUAAUUCUCACUUACUGGACUUGGCGCUUGACUGAGAGAGUGAGGCAGAGGCACACUUAACAUUUUGUUCAACAGUGUUUGAAGGAUAAAAAUGAUUCCUGCCUACGUGAAAAAAAUCGUUCCAUCAUCAUUUCCUCUGUUUUAUGCUUUGAAAUAAAAAU